GACGAACGCUGGCGGCGUGCUUAACACAUGCCAGUCGAACGGAAAGGCCCUGCUUUUGUGGGGUGCUCGGGUGGCGAACGGGUGAGUAACACGUGAGUAACCUGCCCUUGACUUUGGGAUAACUUCAGGAAACUUGGGCUAAUACCGGAUAUGAGCUCCUGCUGCAUGGUGGGGGUUGGAAAGUUUCGGCGGUUGGGGAUUGACUCGCGGCUUAUCUGCUUGUUGGUGGGGUAGUGGCUUACCAAGGCUUUGACUGGUAGCCGGCACUAGAGGGUGACCGGCGACACGGGGACUGAGAUACGCCCCAGACUCGUACGGGAGGCAGCAGGGGGGAACAUUGCACAAUGGGCCGAAGCCUGGUGCAGCAACGCCGCGUGCGGGAUGACGGCCUUCGGGUUGUAAACCGCCUUCGCCUGUGACGGGGCGGGAAUGACGGUAAUGUAUAAAGAAGCACCGGCUAACUACGUG
This 468-nucleotide ribosomal RNA is filed under the name uncultured bacterium. Its description in RNAcentral is "partial 16S ribosomal RNA". It matches the Rfam family "Bacterial small subunit ribosomal RNA", at positions 28 to 507 of the family's 1533-position model. The record is from RNAcentral.